CGAAAAAAAAACCCGGACGUACGAGCGAAGUCGCAUGCCCUCGAGCGAGAACGACUCGCACGCUAGACUCCCUGCCCUCGUUCGUCGCCGCCUUCAUCCCUUCGCCUCCGCCGCCCUUCAUCCCUUCGCCGCCGCACUCGGUCUCACAUCAAAGGCGCCCCACUCGCGGGAGAGGAUGAGCUGAUCUCCAUGGCCAGAUGAGGGAGGAAUACGGGUGACGGGAUGGAUUUGGAUCUCAAGGCGGGGAGGCCAACGUAGCCGCCCCUAGCGCGUCGAGCGAAAGCGAAGGAUUUGGAUCUCAUGGAUUUGGCUGCGUCGACCAGCAGAGGACCGCCGCCGGCUCAGCUCCUCCACCACACAAAGCAACCUCCUUCCACCCCAUAGCCGCCGCCCAAAACCCUAGCAAUCGAGCCCCACCCAUGGCGCCCUAGGUGGUACAGCGGCCAGAGGAGAGGAGAGGAGAGGAGGUGGAGCAGCCAUCGCCUGGACGUGAGCGGUGAAUGGGCAGCCGGGCGUCGAGCAGGAUCAUGGGGGAGCAGGGGAGGCCAGAGGCUGCUCACCAUAUACAUCGCCAUCCAUAGCCGCCCUUGUCCGCCAAGAAGCUGAGGAGGGAGGCUGACCUCCAGUGACCACUCUGCACCGCUCUGGACGACACCCUCCCCCACCAGAGAGAAAGUGCAAAAGCUAUGGGCAAUCCUAUAUGACUGGCGCCAUCAAGGUUAUUGAAGGGAGAUGGGGCUCUUCUGGCCCCUUUGGUGCAAAAGCACAAGCAACAGCAUCUACAGCUGACCACUCAUAGCCUAGGAUGUCCUGCAGAUUUGAUCUAUUUUGGAUAGAGUACAUGGAAUCAAACCACAGGUAAUCAAUUUGCUAUAUUCACGUGAUUAGCUAUAAGGAAUUUAUUACCUCUGUUUUAUUUGCAGGAUACCCAAGCAGUGCGUACAAAUUGUAGUGGUGCUUGUAGCUUAUCAUCAAUCUGCCAUUAUUAUUUGUAUGUUGGUUUUACGUUUCUUAUUGGAAGAGUGAGAUGCCCAGGACAGAAUCCAGUUUGUAUCAACGCCUCAUUGAAUAGAAUCAUGUAGAUUCUGCUGCAUACAAGCUUUAUAAAGAAAUAGUUUUAAGGGAGGACUUCAAAGAGUAUUUUGCCAAAUUUGGUAAAGUGCGGGGAUGGAGGGCAGUCAGCAUCCACCUCGAGGCAGAGGGGUGGGCAGAAGGACGGUCGGUGUUCAACUCUCUACGGUUCAAAACCAAGUCCAUCCAAGCCUCAAAGUAUAAAGAAGGCGCCUAGACACUCGAUGGGUGGUGUAAACCGUAGGGUGUCCAUUGGUGGAGCCAUGAUGCAAGCAUCCAAAACAGACAUAUUGUAUACGAAGAAUGUUCAUGCUGCCAAGAGAAGUGAAGACAUUGCCCAUUUGUCCCCUGGGUGGGCGUGUAACUAGAGAACAAAACACUAUGGCGGCAAAUGAGACUAUCGAACCGAACUGAUUGUACUGAAAACUAGGACCUAAACUUGUGCUGCUGGCCAACCUUUUCUUCAGGGAAUGCCAAGAUAUUCGCCAAACAAAGCCAUAGGAUGGUGCUAUACAUAGAGGACAACCUAUCAGCAAGUCGGGCUCCAGUGUGUUUGGGUCAGCGUCCACGGAGGAGCAGAUAACUGACGACAUUUACGCUGCCGGGCUCACUAUCCUCAUCACACGUGACCACAACCCACCCAACCGACUGUAAUUCUUUGUUCUUACAUUUCAUUGCAAACCUCAUGGUUGACUGCACAUCUUGGUUGUGUCAUGUGAUGGGAACAUAUUUUGGGUAUUUGUUUUGUCAUAUGAUGAUGAUUUCUUUCCAACAAGUAGUCACACUAAUUAAAUUCACAAAUUUGUUGGACAAGUCAACUUUGUAGAUUCAUAGUGUAUGAUUAAAGUUGGCAUUAGACAAACAAAGAAUGUGAUCUGCCUCUCUAAAUUUCCUCUAAUUCUAAUGUGGCACCAAAUCGAGACGGAGCUGAUGUGCAAUUAGCUUGUUUUUUUAAGUGUGCAGCGACUUCUAGCGCUUGAUUAAAAUGGUCAUUUGCUAUUCAUCAUUUAUUUUCUAUUUAAAUCUUAUUAUAUCUAAUCAGCCCACUAUUUCUUUUUUCAAGAUUCUAUAGUUAACCCAAACUUGUUUGGGACUAAAGGCUUUGUUGUUGUUGUCUAUAGUUAACACAAAAUCCAAUCUUAGAGUUAGCAAUAUAGUAUACACUACCAGUCUGAUACAAGCUUUAUGGUAGCUUGUAAGAGCGGGGAUAUGUGAGCAUAUACCGAGCCAUUCAAUUAUGUUACUGAAAUCAUUCCAAGAAAAUAUGCAGAUUUUUAAAACAUGUAAAAAGAGAAGAGAGUUGUUAAUAAUGAUUUAUAGGAAAUUGGAUUGGGUAGUGCCGCUAGCUCGGAUGGCGCCACUGAAUUAAUGACACUAAUGCAGAGGAUUGAAGUAAAAUUGCAGAGAUUAGAACUUGGUCUCGCCAAAGCCCCUUAAGUGAUAAGGGAGACAACCAGCAUAGACAACCGACAACCACUAACCGACAACGAUAAUGUGCUUGUUGGAUCGGUGUAUUGGAAUGGCUAUGCAUUUUAGUAGUAUGUAAAAUCCUUUUGCAUCUAUAUACUUUACCAUUAGGGCGCGAAACUACUAAAGGGUAGUAUUGGAAAGAUGCAUCUGACUAGCUUAUUAUGGGAGAGAACACAACUACAACGUCACUGAAUCUGAUAUAUGUUUCCUCAUUUUGUAGGUUACAAUGGUCGUGGAGCUUCUUGGAUUAAACUUGCAAAGAGUAGUACUGGAAAGCUUCAUUUUCGCAAUACAAAAGGUAGGAAGACCAUACGAAGACCAAUACAAAAAGGAGGAUGCAUGAGCUUCACAGAUCUGAUUGAAUUUAGUCAGAAGAUGGAGACUUGAAGGAGGAAUUAGUGGAGAAUGGGAAGGUGGAUAGAACAUGGGAACAAAUCAAAUACGUGUAGUAUUCCUAUGAGGGGAGUGAGUGGAGACAGAAAUGAGUGCAUGUGGAGCAGCUGCUGCCUAUGAGGCGAGUGAGUGGAGACGGCCAGAUCUAUGCGGCGGAGGGGCUAUAGAAGCUUGAACGAAAGAUUUGUCGCCAGCAUCGGAGCAAUUUAUUGGGCAGAUCGACACUAAAUCUCCUGCAUGGACGUGAAGGCAUGUCUUUAUUAAGUUCAAUCUUUGAAAACUUGGCAUGUGACGCUGUGUAAAAAUAGAAGAUGCUAGAAAAUUGUCUCUGGCCAAUUUCGUAUGUAGCCGUGAGCAUUGCUAAUUUCUGUCAACAUGAACGAUAUUUGGUCUGUUUAUAUAGCUACCAUGUGCUGAACAAAUUGUCUGAUUAAUGUAAUACUCCUGAAUAGAUUGGUGUGCGUGCCAUGUCAUUUGGUCUGCAUUACACUAACAGAAUCAUUUUGUCAAUGGCUGGUCCAUUAAUACUCUUUCAAAAUUUUGUCUUGACUGCAACAUUGUAGUUUUUUUUGGUAUGUAUAAUAAGCAUAGGUGUCAAUUUUGGAGCAGA
This is a non-coding RNA of Aegilops tauschii subsp. strangulata, 3544 nucleotides long. NCBI's taxonomy places the organism in Eukaryota, Viridiplantae, Streptophyta, Magnoliopsida, Poales, Poaceae. The record is from RefSeq and is a predicted model, not a curated record.